GGAUUGUGGCUCAGCGGUAGAGCACUUGCCUAGCAUGUGUGAGGCACUGGGUUCGAUUCUCAGCACCA
RNAcentral lists this transfer RNA (68 nucleotides) under Marmota monax (woodchuck). RNAcentral's name for it is "tRNA.Ala". The stretch from base 5 to 65 matches the Rfam family "tRNA", at positions 6 to 65 of the family's 71-position model. From Rfam's summary of the family: Transfer RNA (tRNA) molecules are approximately 80 nucleotides in length. Their secondary structure includes four short double-helical elements and three loops (D, anti-codon, and T loops). The record is from RNAcentral. Lineage: Eukaryota; Metazoa; Chordata; Mammalia; Rodentia; Sciuridae.